CAAUAAUUCUCUCUGAGCUGGGCUUACGUCUGAAGGCUACAGACUGACAUGGACCCUUAAGUCUUCCUGUGCAUAUAAGGAUAUAACGGGAUCAAGGUCAGCUGCUGCAACUGAGACCUCACUUUCACUGGGGAGGAGGACUUACCCUAAAGUAAAAUAUUGCGAGUCUGACUAUAUUUGAUUGAUUCCUGAAAACUGAAAUUGAGGCCCCAUUCUUUUUAAGGGAUACCUAUAUAUAAACAUGCACUACAAAUGACCUGUGGAAUUGUUGUACCCAGAUCAAGAAUGCUCAUUGCCAAUGGUUUUAGGAGUAUCUGGACAUGGUCAUUGAAACUCCUGGAGAAAGUAAGAAGUUGAGAAGAGAGAAUUUCCUUAAUAAAACUCAGAGUAUCAACUUAGACAUACAUUUCAUUUAAGCAAAAUAUGGGGCCAGGUGCAGUGGGUCACACCUGUAAUCCUACCACUUUGGGAGGCGGAGACUGGAGGAUCACUUGAGCCCACUAGUUGGAGACCAGCCUGGGCAACAUAGCAAGACCCUGUCACUGCCAUGUUACAAAAAAUAAAAAUAAAAUUAGCCGGAUGUGGUGGCACACGCCUGUAGUCCCAGCUAUUUGAGAGGCUGAGGUGGGAGGAUUGCUUUAGGCCAGGACUUCGAGGCUGCUGUGAACUAUGAUCAUGCCACUGCACUCCAGCCUGGGUGACAGACAGAGUGAGACCCUGUCUCAAAACAAAACAAAACGACAAGUAAACAAGAAAACUAUGGGAAGCCAUGAAACAGAUAUGGGCUGUUGCAGAUUGGAUCCAGGAUUCCUGGGAGGUGACUGAGCCACUGAAACAACAACAUGCAAUGCCAGGUUGAAGGGGUAAACUAAGGAAUGAAGACCAGUCUGUGGAGACCAAAGUCUCCAGGGCAGGAAGUGGGGCCCAUGAGAUCUGGUGAUUAGAUCUGCCACUUCCUAGCCAUGACACCGCACGCAUGUUUUCUAACUAAUCUAGGCUUUGUUCUUAUUUGUAAAAUGAGAAUAAUAAUCACUUUGCUUAUCUCACUAUUAGUUGUAAAGAUCCAGUGAGAUCAUGGAUGUGAGAGUGCGAUGCAAAUCGUUUUGGGCUCACAAAACUAAGGUAUUAUUUUUGUUCAACUGAAAAUAUCUUCCUCAGAAAGUGUAGAAACGUACACUACAAAUCCAAAAUCCCUCAAUGCCCAAGUGUUUACUAGCAUGAGUGCAGUUCCAGGGCUGCCCUCAAAUUAAAGGUUUCUUGUGAUCUUAUGUGAUUUAGGAACAUUUUGAGCAGUUAAUGCACAAUGUUUCUGAAAUCUAAAGUAAGCAGAGGCUUAUUGUCUAUUAAUGACAGUCUCUGGGGGCUAGGACAGAUGCCCCCACUCCAGUUCCAGAUGAUGAAGGACUCCAGAGCCAGAAUACCCUAGCAAGGCUGUUUGCAUCCCAAAGAGGAAGAAUGUGUUAGGAAUAUGCUUUUGGCAUCUAAUCAUUCUUCAUAAAUCAAGAUGUGAAGUCAGUGAAGUAAGAGAUGAACAAUUUCUGGAAAUGGAAUCUCCACAGCUACUUCUGGACAACCUCAGCCCAUUCAUCUACAAACCUCCGUGCCCGGCACGUUGUCCAGGCUGGACCCCCAGCCGGAUGGUGUAUUAGGAGUUCCUUUACAUGCCUGCUGGGGGCGACAUCCUUUCUCACAUUUGUAACAGUGAAACAGCAAAAGAAUGAACAUGACUAACUCCAUUUUUGUUUGAGUGGUCCUUAUCUAUGUUUAGAUACCCAUUCCUGCAUGUGGGCUAGAAUAAUUUUAGAGCACUGGGAUGAAACACUACAAUGGGAGUCAUACAGUUUUUGAAAUGAACUCUGGGAUUAAAAAGGAGUAUUUGAGCAACCGACCAUAUUUUGUUAAAGAUUUAUAGGAGGAAGGAGCAUUGUGACCUGACCAGGGACAAAGAAAUUCCCAACUUCCUUGGACCCUUGCUGGCACCCAGCUGUCUAUAGUCAUAGGUUAUGUGUUGAUCCCAACACCCUCCUCUUCCCCCUGCCCUUAACAUAAAAAGAGCCUGAAAUUUGUACCGACUUGUGAUGGUCUUUGUGACACUAGUCCACCAUCUCCCCAGGUUGCC
This 2119-nucleotide long non-coding RNA is filed under the name Homo sapiens (human). RNAcentral's name for it is "HSALNT0247616". Lineage: Eukaryota; Metazoa; Chordata; Mammalia; Primates; Hominidae. The record is from RNAcentral.